RNAcentral lists this ribosomal RNA (245 nucleotides) under uncultured bacterium. RNAcentral's name for it is "partial 16S ribosomal RNA". It matches the Rfam family "Bacterial small subunit ribosomal RNA", at positions 524 to 768 of the family's 1533-position model. The record is from RNAcentral.
GACGAACCGUGCGAACGUUGUUCGGAUUCACUGGGCUUAAAGGGCGCGUAGGCGGCUUGCCAAGUCCGGGGUGAAAUCUUUCGGCUCAACCGGAAAAGUGCCUUGGAUACUGGCGGGCUAGAGGGAGGUAGGGGUGCGUGGAACUUCUGGUGGAGCGGUGAAAUGCGUAGAUAUCAGAAGGAACGCCGGUGGCGAAAGCGACGCACUGGAUCUCUACUGACGCUGAGGCGCGAAAGCCAGGGGAG